UACAGAGGGGGCAAGCGUUGUUCGGAAUUACUGGGCGUAAAGGGCGCGUAGGCGGCCCGCUAAGUCGAACGUGAAAUCCCCGGGCUCAACCCGGGAACUGCGUCCGAUACUGGCAGGCUUGAAUCCGGGAGAGGGAUGUGGAAUUCCAGGUGUAGCGGUGAAAUGCGUAGAUAUCAGGAGGAACACCAAUAGCGAAGGCAGCUCGCUGGGACGGUAUUGACGCUGAGGUGCGAAAGCGUGGGGAGCAAACAGG
Molecule: ribosomal RNA, 253 nt
Filed under: uncultured bacterium
Lineage: Bacteria
Description: partial 16S ribosomal RNA
Rfam family: Bacterial small subunit ribosomal RNA
Source: RNAcentral